Molecule: unclassified non-coding RNA, 355 nt
Filed under: uncultured fungus
Lineage: Eukaryota; Fungi
Description: partial contains small subunit ribosomal RNA, internal transcribed spacer 1, and 5.8S ribosomal RNA
Rfam family: Eukaryotic small subunit ribosomal RNA (bases 1-73)
Source: RNAcentral
GCAAACUUGGUCAUUUAGAGGAAGUAAAAGUCGUAACAAGGUUUCCGUAGGUGAACCUGCGGAAGGAUCAUUAUUGAAUAAACUUGAUGUGGUUGUAGCUGACUCUCUUGGGAGUAUGUGCUCGCCCGUCACUUUUAUCUUUCCACCUGUGCACUUUUUGUAGAUUUGGAUGUAGCUGUCCGAGGCAACUCGGUUGGGAGGAAUGCCAUCUAAUGGCUUUCCUUGUAUGUCCAAGUCUAUGUUUUUAUAUACUCCAUAGUAUGUAACAGAAUGUAUCAAUGGGCCUUGUGCCUAUAAACUUUAUACAACUUUCAGCAACGGAUCUCUUGGCUCUCGCAUCGAUGAAGAACGCAGC